CGGGGUGUCAAUGGUAAAACCCAAAGAACAUGGCGAGGUAAAAGUUACUUAAAUAAUUUUAAAAAAAUAUAAAUAUAAACAUAUAUAAGAGCGGUAAAAUAAAACUAUAUGUUUUGUGUUUAAUAACAGGAAGGUGCUAUGGGGUCCGAUGGUGCGUCAGCUGAGGAUGAUGAUAAUUCAGAAUCAGAUGAGGGUACGACUGAGACAUCUUCAGAGGAUGGAGAGAGGCGGCCUUUAAGCAGAACAACCGUAAUAUGUACCUGUUGUUUUUGUGUGAAGCAAGAUGUUAAAAAAAAGUCUGUAAAAAGUAAGGAGAGUGACCAGAAAAGCUGUGAAGAAGAAGAAGAUGCCAUUAUGGUUGAUAUUAUUAGAGCUAUUGUAGUAAAAGCCUUUUACCACUGUUUGAAAAAACAACUUUUGGAAAACUGUGCAGCCUGCACUGUAAAUAAGUCCAACCCUUUUAGUCACCCUUGUAUUUUUUGGGAUCGCUCAGAAGUAUUUUACCAGCUUAGACGUAUUUCUUCUAAACUGAACGCGGCCCAGCUUGUAAAUAUAAUUAUAGCUGAAGGCUACAAACUGAAAAAGCUUAACAUAACCACUGAAACUAUAACCAAAGUUGUUAAAAUGAUUAGGGAGGUUGCAAAAACAUCUGAUCCAGUGGCCUUGCUGGUAGACCUGUCAAAAGAGGUGGCCCCCGAUAUUGGCCGAGCGGUGUGUAGCAGGGUUCGCCAAAUGGAUUAUAAAACUUUUUACAUGCAAGCUUGUGACCCUAGAGGCUUAAAAAAUAUAUAUUAAUUAAGAUGCAUUGUAAAAAUUUGUAUUACAGUUUUUAUAUUAUUUUGCUUAUGCGUUAAAAAUGUAUGUGAUUGUACCGUAUAUUACUUGGCCGAUUGGUGUGUAGCAGGGUUUGUAAAAUGGAUUAUAAAAGUUUUUACAUACAAGCUUGUGACCCUAGAGGCUUAAAAAAUAUAUAUUAAUUAAGAUGCAUUGUAAAAAAAUUUGUAUCACAGUUUUUAUAUUAUUUUGCUUAUGCGUUAAAAAAAGGUAUGUAAUUGUACCGUAUAUUACUUUGCUGCUGCUUUAAAAGUCAAAUGUGU
Molecule: long non-coding RNA, 1097 nt
Filed under: Gopherus agassizii (Agassiz's desert tortoise)
Lineage: Eukaryota; Metazoa; Chordata; Testudines; Testudinidae
Description: lncRNA (ENSGAGG00000000250.1)
Source: RNAcentral